AUACGAAUGGUGCAAGCGUUGUUCGGAAUCACUGGGCAUAAAGAGCACGUAGACGGUGGUGUAAGUCAGAUGUGAAAUCCCUCGGCUCAACCGAGGAACUGCAUCUGAAACUGCACCGCUAGAGUGCGGGAGGGGAGAGCGGAAUUCCAGGUGGAGCGGUGAAAUGCUUAGAUAUCUGGAGGAACGCCGGAGGCGAAAGCGGCUCUCUGGCCCGCCACUGACGCUGAGGUGCGAAAGCUAGGGGAGCAAACAGGAUUAGAUACCCCGGUAGUCC
RNAcentral lists this ribosomal RNA (274 nucleotides) under uncultured bacterium. RNAcentral describes it as "partial 16S ribosomal RNA". It matches the Rfam family "Bacterial small subunit ribosomal RNA", at positions 523 to 796 of the family's 1533-position model. The record is from RNAcentral.